UACGGAGGAUCCGAGCGUUAUCCGGAUUUAUUGGGUUUAAAGGGUGCGUAGGCGGUUUGAUAAGUUAGAGGUGAAAUGUCGGGGCUCAACCCCGAAACUGCCUCUAAUACUGUUGGACUAGAGAAUAGUUGCGGUAGGCGGAAUGUAUGGUGUAGCGGUGAAAUGCUUAGAGAUCAUACAGAACACCGAUUGCGAAGGCAGCUUACCAAACUAUAUCUGACGUGAGGCACGAAAGCGUGGGUAGCAAACAGG
RNAcentral lists this ribosomal RNA (252 nucleotides) under uncultured bacterium. RNAcentral describes it as "partial 16S ribosomal RNA". It matches the Rfam family "Bacterial small subunit ribosomal RNA", at positions 524 to 776 of the family's 1533-position model. The record is from RNAcentral.